CUGCGGCGCGCACUCUCGUUGCUGCUGCACGCCAGGACGCACCUCGCGCACGACCACGCGCGCUGCAGAUCGUGGGAGCCGGCGGAGAACACGACCAGUGACAGCGAGCCUGAUGCUCCCGCGGUCGCCGAGAAGGGCAUCAUUGAAAAGACUGAAAAGGAGCAGCUGAACUGGGCGGCGCGCGGCUGCUCGCUGGCCGGGCGCGCUGACAGCGUGCGGCGCGCCCUGCGCUCCCUCGUGCGCACCCUCGUGCACUUGUACCCGCAGCAAUCUGCAUCGCAGCAAGAAGCAGGAGGCUGGAACGA
Long non-coding RNA from Papilio xuthus (Asian swallowtail), 305 nucleotides. RefSeq lists it as uncharacterized. NCBI's taxonomy places the organism in Eukaryota, Metazoa, Arthropoda, Insecta, Lepidoptera, Papilionidae. The record is from RefSeq and is a predicted model, not a curated record. The transcript has 4 exons.